This 128-nucleotide small RNA is filed under the name Marmota monax (woodchuck). Lineage: Eukaryota; Metazoa; Chordata; Mammalia; Rodentia; Sciuridae. The record is from RNAcentral.
GCUAGGCAUGGUGGUGCAUGCCUGUAAUUCCAGCUUCUCAGGAGGCUGAGGCAGGAGGAUCACAAGUUCAAAGCCAGCCUCAGCACUAAAGCAAAGGUGCUAAGCAACUCAAUGAGACCCUGUCUUUA